This 253-nucleotide ribosomal RNA is filed under the name uncultured bacterium. RNAcentral describes it as "partial 16S ribosomal RNA". It matches the Rfam family "Bacterial small subunit ribosomal RNA", at positions 524 to 776 of the family's 1533-position model. The record is from RNAcentral.
UACGGAGGGUGCAAGCGUUGUUCGGAAUCAUUGGGCGUAAAGCGCGUGUAGGCGGCUUGGCAAGUUAGUUGUGAAAGCCCGGGGCCCAACCCCGGAAUUGCAUCUAAAACUGCCCGGCUAGAGUCCCGGAGAGGAAGGCAGAAUUCCCGGUGUAGGGGUGAAAUCCGUAGAUAUCGGGAGGAAUACCAGCGGCGAAGGCGGCCUUCUGGACGGUGACUGACGCUGAGACGCGAAAGCGUGGGGAGCAAACAGG